GUCAAAGUGGCAAAGUGGUCUAAGGCGCCAGAUUUGAGCUCUGGUUCUCUAAUGGGAAGCGUGGGUUUGAACCCCACACUUGACA
RNAcentral lists this transfer RNA (85 nucleotides) under Tigriopus californicus. RNAcentral describes it as "tRNA-Ser for anticodon UGA". It matches the Rfam family "tRNA". Rfam says of the family: Transfer RNA (tRNA) molecules are approximately 80 nucleotides in length. Their secondary structure includes four short double-helical elements and three loops (D, anti-codon, and T loops). Further hydrogen bonds mediate the characteristic L-shaped molecular structure. tRNAs have two regions of fundamental functional importance: the anti-codon, which is responsible for specific mRNA codon recognition, and the 3' end, to which the tRNAs corresponding amino acid is attached (by aminoacyl-tRNA synthetases). tRNAs cope with the degeneracy of the genetic code in two manners: having more than one tRNA (with a specific anti-codon) for a particular amino acid; and 'wobble' base-pairing, i.e. permitting non-standard base-pairing at the 3rd anti-codon position. The record is from Rfam by way of RNAcentral. Lineage: Eukaryota; Metazoa; Arthropoda; Copepoda; Harpacticoida; Harpacticidae.